This 468-nucleotide ribosomal RNA is filed under the name uncultured bacterium. RNAcentral describes it as "partial 16S ribosomal RNA". It matches the Rfam family "Bacterial small subunit ribosomal RNA", at positions 28 to 507 of the family's 1533-position model. The record is from RNAcentral.
GACGAACGCUGGCGGCGUGCUUAACACAUGCAAGUCGAACGGAAAGGCCCUGCUUUUGUGGGGUGCUCGAGUGGCGAACGGGAGAGUAACACGUGAGUAACCUGCCCUUGACUUUGGGAUAACUUCAGGAAACUGGGGCUAAUACCGGAUAGGAGCUCCAGAUGCAUGGUGGGGGUUGGAAAGUUUCGGCGGUUGGGGAUGGACUCGCGGCUUAUCAGCUUGUUGGUGGGGUAGUGGCUUACCAGGGCUUUGACGGGUAGCCGGCCUGGGAGGGUGACCGGCCACAUUGGGACUGAGAGACGGCCCAGACUCCUACGGGAGGCAGCAGUGGGGAAUAUUGCACAAUGGGCGGAAGCCUGAUGCAGCAGCGCCGCGUGCGGGAUGACGGCCUUCGGGUUGUAAACCGCUUUCGCCUGUGACGAAGCGUGAGUGACGGUAAUGGGUAAAGAAGCACCGGCUAACUACGUG